RNAcentral lists this long non-coding RNA (581 nucleotides) under Citrus maxima (pomelo). RNAcentral's name for it is "long non-coding RNA (CMAX_LNC002485)". The record is from RNAcentral. Lineage: Eukaryota; Viridiplantae; Streptophyta; Magnoliopsida; Sapindales; Rutaceae.
GGAGGAUCUAUCGGUUCGCGGCUCUGUUUCAGCUUAAACUUAUCGACAUGGUUCCGGUUCGAAUAUGUUGAAACUGAACCACGAUCGAAUUGUAAAUGAUUCUUCAUGGAACCAUAAAAUUCUUCAACAAGUGUUUUCAUUCAUUUAGGAUUUUAAACCGAUGUUGGCUCUACUGCUUUGCUUUACCCCCAAAAAAAAAUUAAAAUUAAAAUUAAAAUUAAAAUUAAAAUAAAAAUAAAAUAAAAUAAAGCAAAAAAGAAAGACCAGACAGAUAAAUAAAUAAACAACUGAGAAAUUUCUGGAGCAAUUACAUGAACAGGACCACAAUACAAAGAAAAUAAACAGGUUUAAUUAAUUAAUAGACUGAAGCAAGUAUGAAACAAAACAACAGAACAGAACAAGAUAAAGAGAAGAAACCAAUGUGAAGAAGACCAAAGAGGGUACCGCAAUGAACUGAAAGUUGAACCUCCGCUUUGGCUUCAAGAGAGGGGAGAAUUAUUUCCAAGGAACAGUAAAGUAGACACAGGACUUACGUUAACAAAGGAAUAGCAUGUUGAAUGGGACAAAAGCAGGAGCAGCCG